RNAcentral lists this ribosomal RNA (409 nucleotides) under uncultured bacterium. RNAcentral describes it as "partial 16S ribosomal RNA". It matches the Rfam family "Bacterial small subunit ribosomal RNA", at positions 355 to 755 of the family's 1533-position model. The record is from RNAcentral.
UGGGGAAUUUUGGACAAUGGGGGAAACCCUGAUCCAGCCAUCCCGCGUGUGCGAUGAAGGCCUUCGGGUUGUAAAGCACUUUUGGCAGGAAAGAAACGUCGCGGGUUAAUACCCCCGCGAAACUGACGGUACCUGCAGAAUAAGCACCGGCUAACUACGUGCCAGCAGCCGCGGUAAUACGUAGGGUGCAAGCGUUAAUCGGAAUUACUGGGCGUAAAGCGUGCGCAGGCGGUUCGGAAAGAAAGAUGUGAAAUCCCAGAGCUUAACUUUGGAACUGCAUUUUUAACUACCGGGCUAGAGUGUGUCAGAGGGAGGUGGAAUUCCGCGUGUAGCAGUGAAAUGCGUAGAUAUGCGGAGGAACACCGAUGGCGAAGGCAGCCUCCUGGGAUAACACUGACGCUCAUGCACG